This is a long non-coding RNA of Equus caballus (horse), 4169 nucleotides long. RefSeq lists it as uncharacterized. The record is from RefSeq and is a predicted model, not a curated record. NCBI's taxonomy places the organism in Eukaryota, Metazoa, Chordata, Mammalia, Perissodactyla, Equidae.
CUCCAGCUAUUCCGUUUCUUUGAAAAAGAAAGUGAUAAAAUGUUGCCAUGGGCUUAUAAAAAUAUUUGGCAAUGUACCUCCCAAGAAACAGCAAAGAAACUUAAAAUUUUUUCUACCGAGAAAAUAAAUUGAAGGCUCAGAAAACUAGGAAAUAGAGUGCUUGACCAACUUUCUCCAAAGGAAGGAAUAGAUAUUCAGUUGAUUUACUGUGGUCAAGCGUUGGGAGGAGAAGGUACAACGAGGAGAGGGAUGGGCAAGGACAGGAGAGGUGAAUGCUGGGAAGCUGGACGGCAGGAGGGUGAGAACACACGCAGGGACCGCAGGAGUGGGGGCCCCGGGGAAGAAAGGGACAAAGGGACAGCAGGAUCGUUCGGUCGGACUCGUUUUUCUUAGUGCCCUUGAACGUGCCUCACAGCAAUGAAACCAACGUAAGCUGAGUGACCACGUGUCCAGAAAGAAGGGGACAAUGGAUUUGGUGGGAAAAGCCAUCAGCUAAAUUGCCUUUUGCUGUUUAAAAUGAAACCUCACCAGUUUGUCAAAAAAGCAGCAAAAUUUUGAUGUCUCAUUAAAAGAACUUGGUGAUCUGGGUCAGAUGUGAGAGGUAAGCACAACAUCUUCACUCUGUCCGGGCCCGGCCAUGAGGUGGAAUUAUGGAGCAGAUGGGUUUUCAUCCGUUCCCAGUGUCCCGGGGCCUUACUCCCUAUUCCUGGCGCAGCUGUCCAGAUGCCUGACCUUUCUAGUGAUUUCUGGAAAGACCUGCCUUUCCCAUAACCCAGUUCUAUAAAAUCUCGCACGGUGGUAUGGGGGAAAGAGCACGGGCUCCAUAGAGGGCACAUUCUGGAUCGAAAUCUAGUUCUGACGUGCACUAGAUGCUUUAGGGUCCCGUUAUUUAAUGUCUCUCCAAGCCUCAGUUUCUGCAUCUGUAAAAUGGAGGUAGCAUCUAGUCUGCAUAAAGGUUGUGAGUUUUAAACAAGAAUGCGACAUCCAGGACACAGGAGGUUCUCCAUAUUAAUGCGUUGCCUUCCUCCUCGCUUCUGUGCUUUCCGAGGUAUCUAGAUUAUUCAGCUUAACCUGCUCUUACUGAGACCUGUUGCUCCUAAGCCACAUGUGUGGAUAUUAACAACGAUCUGUGGGACCACCAGCAUAAAGUCAGCGUCUCUGCAUGGUACUUCUUCCAGUCGUACGAUGUGGGUAUGGAAAUGGAUCAAUAUGUUGUGAGUACUCUACGAAGAGCGUAAGGCGGACUCCCAGUUUCAUUGCUUCCUGGUUAUGCAAGCUUGGGUGAGUUUCCUCUCCUCUCUCAAUUCCACUUUCCUUGUCUGUAAUCUUUCCUCCUCAAAGGCAGGAGUGAAAAUUAGCAGAAAAGCCAUGCACAGUGCUUGGCACGGAGCAGGCAUUCCAGCGUGUUAGCCAGAAUCGUGAAUGCACCUUUCUCAUGCCUUCUGGGAGGUGGAGGCCACUUGCUUCACAAGGCAAGGAGGAGUAAAAUGACCCAAGCAUUUAUGCGGCCUUUAGAGCCACUGGAACGCCUCUCUUGAGGAAGUCUUUGAAGAGGUUAAGAAAGUUUUAAGGCCAUUUCUCUUUAGGGAAAUCUUUGCUUGCCUUUGGAAUUUUCUAACCCUGUCUCUUAGGAUAAACUAGCCUAGGAUAGUCAGGAUGCCGCUAUGGUGACAAACAGUCUCAUUUCUUGCUCAUGCCACCUACCCAUCCCAGGUCUGCCCCGACUGCCCUCCCUCAGGGAGGCAAGCUGACAGGCUUCCACCAUUUGGAGACCCCUGGAGAGGAGAGAGAAUGGGGCAGACUGAACACCAGAACCUAAGGGCUUCGCCCAAAAGUGCAACAUAUUUCCUCUGGCCUCAUUGUAUGAACCAAAGUGAGUCAUGUGGCAACACCUAAUGAUAAGUGGGUGGAGAAGUGCUAUCGAUGCUCCAAAGGCAGAGAACUGGAAAUACUGAUGAGCAUCAGUUAUUAGCACUCAGACAUUAACAAGAAUGCAGGGCAUCUGAACACACCCGUUCCAUUUGACCCAUAAAACAGCACUGAUGCCCGACACCCGCACCACAACCAUGGCAGAACAGAUGGCACUGUUUGAUUCCCAGAAGAAAAUUCAAAACAAGACUCACCAUUUUAUAGUCGAAUUUAAAGCGAUUUUUAGGAAUAGCUUUUUCUAGGAACUAACGAUCAGAUAAAGAUGGAUUUGGGACGUAUAGACUUGUAGCCUGAAGCGGUGGGUGGUCUUAUCUAUAAAUGAAAACCUGCAUGUAAUUUCUCCUAAUAGCAAUUAAGUAUCUAAUACGUAAUUUGUGUCGCUGAGGGGCUGAUAACAAAACCUCAGAGGAAAAGACCACAGAUUGGUGGAGACCAUAUUCCCAUUGUAAGCAUCAGCAGGAUGUUCUUUUUUUUUUUUGGUGAUAACUUUCAUGCCGACAGAUCUGUUGUUAAGGAGACCCCAGGUGUUCUACAUUAUGUUGGCAAAUUGGCCUUUCCUAAGAUCUCUCUUUAAAUAUAUCAUGUAUCCCCAGUGUGUGCACUUUCAAACAAGUGUAGGUUUAGAAGAGCUCACCAGUAGCAUCAGAUGGCCAGUUACCUUUAGCAUAAACUAUGUCCACUGAUAGAAAUAUUGCUGAAUAUCGAGGAAUACGCACAGCAGAAAUGCUAGAAGGAUUGUGGAUAAUGGGAUGGCUAGGAAAGUCCUAUUGCUGGCGGGGUAAAUUUGAAGGAUUAAGAGCAGGACUAGAAAUAUGCAGACAAAACAAACUGAAAUUUGCAAAUAAGAAAUUUGCAACAUUUCCCAGGCUUGUGGUAAUAUAUUCAUUCAUAUAGAGUGUGUUAGUUUGGAAAAGCAAGUCGAUAAUGAAGAUUGGGAUAACAACAUACCUAAAAAUGCUCAGCUUAGCGUCAGGCUCAGAGUGGGUGGUUGUAUUGAUCACAGCCCUGUUGAAUGGAACUGCCGUUGCUGCUUUUGCUGUGCCUUAGAUCUGUCUUGGAAACCUGGGGAAGUCCCAGUCGUUCCAGCAAGGCCCUUGAUAAAAUCUCAGUUUCAGGUCCUCAAGGUGACGCAUCCUUUCGUCACCUUGUGGUGUCUCUAACUAUGUGCCCCUGCCUCUCACAAAGCUGUGAGCAUGUGCAUCCUCUGGGAUGCUAAACGGGCCCUGGCUCCAGCUCUUGGUUUGUGUUCCAGAAUCCUGCUGCCAAGAGUGUGGUCCCCACACUGUGUCAUGUCAGCAUUGUGUCACCCAGGGCUUAUGGGAAACAGACUCUGGGGCUCUAGCCCAGGGCUGUGGUAUGAAAAUCUGCGAAUUCCCAAGAUUUCAGGGAACUCAAAUACACACGAAAGUUUGAGAAACACCAGCCCAGAGAACAACUCAGCAUUCCUUCCAGAUUUAGAAACGUUACUUUUCUGGUGUUCUUAUUUAAAAAUGGGAAGUUGCACAGCUAAUCAAGGAAGGCUGCUUUGCAGCCCCUGAAUUUUAAACUUCUGGUUGGAGGAGAAAUGGCUUCCUUUUUUCCCACACUUUGAUCUCCAAUGACCACAAUCGGAGGUCCUCAUGGAACAGAGAGAUGACACACAACUCCGUCCAUGGCAGAUGACCUGAAGACAACCCUGAUUCGAAUAUUCUCUUGUCUGCGGUGCUUAGACACGUCAGUCAGCCUCUUCUACUCUGGCCAUCCUGAAUCUUUCUCAAUUGAAUAGCAAGUACUUGCAGCAUCCUAACUAAGUCCACGAGGGAAAAUGGCCGUACCCUGCUGAAGCAGUACCAAAAAGAGGGAACCUCAAGUUCUGUGCUGUCUUCAGGCCGUUUCCCGGAAUUACGACUCUGCCCUUGCUUUGAUUUCACAAGCGGCUCUGGAGGUGUAUUUCCUUGAUUUGCAACUUUCAUUGCUUUUUGUCAUCUUUUUGGCCCUGCACUUGAGAGCCAGUCCCUGGUUUCACCGUCUGCCUCUCCUGGGACACAGCUCAUGCUCAUUCUCUUCAGGGGACUCAAGUACCUUCUGGGCUCCGCUAAGCCCUAACCCUGGUGAGUCAUCUCCUCUGCCUGGUUAGGGACCUUCUGGAUUUUACCCAGUCCCCAGAAUAAGUGGAAUCAGAUGCAUUCUUAAAACGUGAGCUUCUUGGGCUGGCCUAGUGGUUAAGUUUGGCACACUCUGCUUAGGCUGUCCUGGUUCAG